GGGACCCACCUGUCAAACUCACGUGCAACAUUUUUUUCCUAUAUAAGAAAAACAAAUCCAUCCUCGGUCCAUCCACCUGCUCCCGCUGUACCCGUCUCUAAGACUGUAACAGUUGAUCCAGCCACUCCCACUGCUCACUUCCCAUCGCGUUUGCCUACAGCCACAACAGAUGGAGCUUGCCACGCUGGCCUCAUCCACCAUGCCGCCCCACUGUCAGACCAGCUCAAGGUCCCCGCGCCACCCUCAUCCCCUUGUGCCACAAAGGCUUGAGCUCGCCUUGUCGCUCUCACCUGCAUCCAGUGCGGCUCAGAUUCAAGGUUACACACACCGCCUCACCCCUGCACCGAAGCGGCACGGCAGCACGGCCUCGAGCUGGCCCGCACCAAAGCUCCUGCAGUCCUGCCUUGGUGAUGUGCUUAGAGUCGAAGACAGAUAGCAACGCCAACAAUGAGGGAUGGGCUCUAUAACACCCCCACGUCCAAAAUCUGCCGAUGGCCCAGCUCACACAUGGAAUGAGCCCGCAUAUGCAUAGCACCUCUCUUACACUUUCAUUCUCAAGGUUAGUACGUUUGGAGUGACAGAUUAUAAGCUGGCCCUCACCCUCAACCACAACUACAAAUGAACCGCAUGGGCCAACUACUACAAGCUAAUAAUGGGCUAAGGUAUUAUAGCUCGCCCCACAUCUAAGUAUAUUCCCAUCUAGGCUCAACCCAUGCACUGACGCCCCACAACCAAACACUGGUGGAAAGAGUAUCACCAAGUCCCAUCCCAACUUGUCCCCUGAACCAAAAGAAUGCUAAAGAGGUGACU
This 810-nucleotide long non-coding RNA is filed under the name Sorghum bicolor (sorghum). RNAcentral describes it as "long non-coding RNA (SBIC_LNC004401)". The record is from RNAcentral. Lineage: Eukaryota; Viridiplantae; Streptophyta; Magnoliopsida; Poales; Poaceae.